CCUACGGGAGGCAGCAGUGAGGAAUAUUGGUCAAUGGACGGAAGCCUGAACCAGCCAUGCCGCGUGCAGGAUGACGGCCCUAUGAGUUGUAAACUGCUUUUGUACAAGAGUAAACUUGAAUACGUGUACUUAGCUGAAUGUACUGUACGAAUAAGGAUCGGCUAACUCCGUGCCAGCAGCCGCGGUAAUACGGAGGAUCCAAGCGUUAUCCGGAUUUAUUGGGUUUAAAGGGUGCGUAGGUGGAUUGAUAAGUUAGAUGUGAAAUUUUCGAGCUUAACUCGAAAACUGCCAUUAAUACUGGUGGUCUAGAGAGUAGUUGAGGUAGGCGGAAUGUGUGGUGUAGCGGUGAAAUGCUUAGAGAUCACACAGAACACCGAUUGCGAAGGCAGCUUACCAAUCUAUAUCUGACGUUGAGGCACGAAAGCGUGGGGAGCAAACAGGAUUAGAUACCCUAGUAGUC
This 460-nucleotide ribosomal RNA is filed under the name uncultured bacterium. RNAcentral describes it as "partial 16S ribosomal RNA". It matches the Rfam family "Bacterial small subunit ribosomal RNA", at positions 338 to 795 of the family's 1533-position model. The record is from RNAcentral.